UUUAGACGCAUCACAACAUAUUCCUUGGAGGAGACAUUCACACGGAAGCUUGAUGAGUACUCACGAGGUCUUUUGCGGCUAAUGCGCGCCAAAGGAGAAGUAGCUGGUUGCAAGAUGUGUCCUCUGCUGGACACUUUAAAUGACACACAGAACAUUGAGAAACAUGAGAUGCUGUUGUCUGCUGCCUCAUUAAAGACAAGACUACCUUGGUGAAAAUCAAGAAGAUCUUUUCCAUUACUACCAGGAAUGUGAGGACUACACAGACAAAAACAUGAAGGUGAUUGUGAAGCACAAUGUCAUGGCUGAGGAGGAUCCAGAUUUGUCUAUUGUGAUCGAGGGAAACCAAGUAAUGGAAUCACAGAGUUUAGAUACAACAAAAUGUGAUUGGACUUCUUCAGUACUGCUCUGAUCUCCUCGCUUCUAGUUUCAUUUUCUACUCUCUCCUCCUCCUAAAACAGCAAUGUUUUAUUAUCCAACAUUAUUGAAACAACAUUUGAUAGUCCAGUGAGUUAACAUGUUCAUUACUUGAAAUGUUGUGUAAAGUUAUUGUGCUGCACUGUAUUUUGAGUGUUUCAUAUGAAUUUUUGGAUUAAAAACAUUGAUCUGAUGAA
This is a non-coding RNA of Pimephales promelas (fathead minnow), 611 nucleotides long. Lineage: Eukaryota; Metazoa; Chordata; Actinopteri; Cypriniformes; Leuciscidae. The record is from RefSeq and is a predicted model, not a curated record.